This 1431-nucleotide unclassified non-coding RNA is filed under the name Hevea brasiliensis (rubber tree). Lineage: Eukaryota; Viridiplantae; Streptophyta; Magnoliopsida; Malpighiales; Euphorbiaceae. The record is from RNAcentral.
GAAAAAAUCAGCUUUUUAUUUGGUAAAAAAUAUUGAGGCACCCCUAUUGUACAACUUUACAGGGAGAACAGAUGGAACUGUGAAGUGUCAUAAACUUGGCAUCUCAGAAGAAAUGGUAGUAUCAUUGGUAUUGGAACUAGUCCAAUUUUAUGGACCUCAAAUCAUUUCUAUCUUCAAGAACAAAAAUGGCACCAUUAAUACAAGCUUGAGAUCUGAAAGAGGCAAACUAUCAUCAGAAAAAACAACUACGCCGCCUGCACAGGUGACAUGUCCUGUAGGAUAUUUUGUUCCCAGACACUUCAUCCGUAUUAAAGUAGAAGCUUCUUGAUGUCACUGAAGUUAGAUGACAAUGCUGAAACGAACGCACCUCCAACCUUCCCAUCAAAGACGCGAUGAUCAGCUGAUAAUGUCAAACUCAUCUUGUUAACAACAGCUGGUUUCUCAAUUCCGUCAGCACCAACCACAGGUUCGACAACUUUAUUGCCCCUACCAACAGCAAUUAUACCGGCCUGAGGAGGGUUGAUAAUUGCACAAAACCGAUCCACUGGAAACAUGCCCAAGUUUGAAAUGCUGAAAGUGCCACCUUGGAAUUCAUUAGGUUUAAGCUUUCCAGCUCGUGCCUUUCCAGCAAGCUCCUUGAUCUCCGCAGAUAUUGAGGAUAUGGAUUUUUGAUCAGCAUUCCUGAUAAUUGGGGUCAUCAAGCCCUUUUCAGUGGCAACCGCAACAGAUAUAUCGACAGAAUCACAAAGCACCACCUCACCUUUUCCAUCAUCCCAGUAAGCAUUUGCUCCUGGUACAUUUCUUAAUGUUGCUGCAACCACUUUGAUUACAAUGUCAUUCACAGAGACUUUAACAUCAUACUUUUCUUUAAGCUCCUUUCUGAAGGAGAGAAGAGAGUCCAAUAUAACAUCUGUGGACAAAUACAAGUGAGGGGUAGAUUGCUUAGAUUCCAAUAACCUUGCUGCUAUCACCUUGCGAAUUUGACUAUUGGGUAAAUCUUCAUAAGCAUCCUUUUGCUGUCCAUCAGAUUUUAAAUCAAGUGACUUUGUUGGAGUAGCUUGUUGGUUGACCUGAGGAGGAGAUGGAGUUGCCUUCCCAACUGAUGAAUUGUUGCUUGAUCCCUUUCCAGACUUCAAUGCAGCAAGAACAUCUCCCUUUAACAAGGUACCACGAGGACCAGAUGCUGGAAUUGAUGAUGCAUCUAAACCAUGUUCCAUAAUUAAUACCUUAGCAGCUGGACUGAUUCUAUUGAAACCUGUUGUCUGAGUUCUAACUUCAGUUGUGACAUCAUGACUGACCGGCUUUUCUUCCUUAACCACAUUGUUGCCGCUGAUCGAUGUCCUCACAGCUUCAAUAUCAUUUUCAUCCUCAACCAUGAUUGCAAUAGGCUGCCCAACAGCCACAUCUUUUGAACCUUCAGGUGCCAGUAUU